This 209-nucleotide long non-coding RNA is filed under the name Vigna radiata. RNAcentral's name for it is "long non-coding RNA (VRAD_LNC015116)". Lineage: Eukaryota; Viridiplantae; Streptophyta; Magnoliopsida; Fabales; Fabaceae. The record is from RNAcentral.
UGGGCCGAGGCUUGAACGUGUGUAGCUGGAGCUCUCCCUUGAAGAAUAAACGAUCGACCUCCUCACAUGCUAAAGAUCAAAGCCCAUCCUUGACUUGUUGGACGUGUAGAGCUUACUACUCAAGCUUGACUCGUGAAGCCUGGAUUGGAUGUGGGCCACUUCUCCAAAUGCUGGAUGAAUGAAGAUGCUGCAAUAAUCUGCUAGACAAU